GUAAAUUUUAAAAUAGACUACUUGCAAUACUUAAGUACAAAAAAUGUUGAAUACUUUAGUACGUCUACUUAAGUGUGGUGCUUAAAGAGCAGUUCAAAUUCUACUCAAGUCCCUUUUUUAAUAGAGCACUUGAACUUUUACUCAAGUCUGGGUCACUAGUACUUUAUACAUCUCUUUAAGAGAGGGCAGCUCCUGUCUUGCUAGUAUUGAAGCCAGAUGGAUCGGUAAGACUCUGAAGAUUAUAGAGUAACUGUUAACAAGGAAUUUUCAUUAGAGCAGUACUCCAAUUCCCCGAAUGGGGGACAUGUUGCCAGUGUUAUCUGGAGGUGAGAAAUACACCAAAUUAGAUAUGAGUCAUGCAUAUCAACAGAUUUUGUUGGAGGAAACAUCAAAGCAAUAUGUAAUUGUAAAUACUCACAAAGGUCUCUUCACUAUACACGCUUACCCUUUGGAGUGAGUUCAAGUUCUGCAAUCUUCCAGAGAACUAUGGAGGGGAUUUUAAAGGUUCUCCUAAAAGUUACAUAUAUUAAGUAUAUUUGGAUGAUAUUCUGUUGACAGGAAAGAAUGAUCAAGAACAUCUUGGGACACUGGAUCAAGUAUUUCAGAGGCUGGAGGAGUCUGGAUUACCACUGAAAAGAGGGAAGUGUACGUUCAUGGAAAAUGAAGUUGUUUUCUUGGGACAUAAAGUUGAUGCCACAGGUAUUCAUGAAUAUGUAAUUUCUUAUAGAGCGGGUAAAGAUCAUGGUAAUGCUUAUGGUCUCAGUCAUCUUCCUGUUUCACAACCUUCUAAGGCAGAAUCAGAGGAAGAGCAUGUCUUGAUGUUGGAGAGCGUCGCUGGUACCUUGACGACCACACAGCAAAUUAAGCACUGAACUUCUAAAGAUCCUGUUUUGUGAAGAGUUUGUGCUUAAAGGCUGGCCUGAUCAUAGUGAUACCCCUGAAUUUGUACCUUAUAAACACAGACAGCAAGAGCUGUGGGGAGCCCAUGUUGUUAUUCCAGAAUAGGGAUGUUCAGGUUUGAAGGAACAGUUGAACCAAUCUCACCCAGGCAUGUCUAAGAUGAAAGGUUUGGCAAAAAAACUACAUUUGGUGGUCGAAUCUGGAUGCUGAUAUUGAAACUCAAGUAAGAGAUUGUACUGUCUGUAAAGAACAGCGCAAAUCCCCUGUAAGGGCCCCACUUCAUCCAUGGGAGUGGCCUAGACAACCGUGGAGGAGAAUUCACAUGGUUUAUGCAUGCCCUUUUCUAGGUAAAUUGUUCUUGAUUAUCAUUGAUGCCCAUUCUAAGUGGAUUGAUGCUUGUCCUGUAAGUUUAGCAACAACAGAAGCUACUUUGGAGUGUUUGUGAAAAGGUUUUAGUGUACGUGGGAAUCCUGAAAUGAUAGUGUCAGAUAAUGCCCAAUGUUUUGUGAGUAAAGCAAGUAAAGACUUCAUGACUAAGAAUGGAAUAACCCAUGUUACUUCUGCACCAUAUCACCCUUAAUCUAAUGGUUUAGCAGAGCGAGCAGUUCAAACUUUUAAAGACCUAAUGAAGAAAAGUUCAGGGAACAUGCUGGAUACCAAGUUACAUAGAGCUCUGUUUAAUUAUUGUAUCACACCCCAGUCUAUAACUGGACUGUCUCCUGCUGAAUUGCUUGAUGGCAAGAAAAUUGCGUUGCACUUUAAACAAGAUACAUCCUAACUUCACUGGUGAAAUGGAAAGGAAACAACAAGUUCAGAAAGAGUAUCAUGAUCAACAUGUGAAAUCUCGUUAUUUCCAGAUUUGAGAUGCUGUGUAUAUGCAAAACUUUAGGUAUGGACCAAAAUGGGUGCAUGGAGUAAUCCAGGACAUUACCGGACCUGUAUCUUAUACAGUAGCCUUGGGGAAUGCUCAAAGUGUGCUACGUCAUGUAGAUCAAUUAUUUAGUCGCUAACAAAAAGAAAUGAUAACUGAUUACCAACCGAGCAUGGAAGUUCACUUAUGUGAUGCAGAAAUUGGGUCUUUGGAUACAGAUGUUCAAGUGCCCAAAUCAUCUAGUACCUCUAUAAUACCAACUCCUGGUGUUGCUCCUGAGAAAAAAGGAGCUGGAAAAUUUGCAUACUGAAUGUUCCAGUAGGCUGUUGUCACAGUUAUGUAGUGCUCCUACCAUUCCUGAAGUGACAUCAAUUCCAGAAGUAAAAAACCCUGAACUUGUACAUACUAGGGGUCUACGAUGUUGAGUAAGAGAACAGAAACAACCCUCACAUUUAAAGGACUUUGGGAUGUAAAAAAUAGAAAAGUAUUAGCACACUUAAAGGAUAUUGUGUAUAUUUGAAAUGGAGACAGGGGUAGCUGCAGUCUGGAGCAAUGGGCGUGCCGAAAGGUAGGGGCGUGGCAAAAGGUUUCUCAUUGGUGGAAGGAGUUUUACUGUGCUGGCCAAUCAGCAGUAAAUAUACAUUACGUAAUUUCCUUAGACAAGGUGGCGGCGAUAAGACGUGAGGUAAUUAUUCAUCGUUUAUACGUUUAUCUAUACUUUAUAUACCACAAAUAUGUAUAUAAAGAUAAGUUUGUUACAAUACGAUCAAAUUUUUUCCUUUGCGUUAUAUCUUGCAGUUUUAGUAAUUAGUUUAUUGUUGUUGACAGACAUAUGUACAGUGAGACAAAACGAUGACCGCAUCGACGGCGAAUCCUUCAGAGAUGAUUGUUUAUAUCUGCGUCCUUUUUAUACAAUAGAGUACAGAAUACAUCCUGGGGACCCGGCCACACCUUUCCUACCGUACACCUGAUGGAUACUGACUGUAAAAUGGCAAUCGUAGUUCGAGGGCUCAGUGUGGUGACAGAAGAUGGAACAGAUGUGUGUCCGUGCACCAGUCUUGAUGAAGCUUCAUAACAGCCUUCUGGAUGUAUUCUGUUUUCAACAUUGCAUAUCCACCACACCUGAGAAAGACACUGACUUUCCUUCAGAGGCACAUUCUCAACAUUAGAAGACGAGAUAAGCUCUGUAUGGUUGACUGGAAGUCUGUCAGUCCAGAUGUGAGGAGGACACACAGAGUGGAGCUGGAGCUCAGCAGAUGUGUGAUGCUGUAGAUACUGUGGUCUUGGAAAGAAGGGAUCUCCACAGCUUUCUAUUCAGACAAAAGAGUUUGCUGGAUUCUGUUCUAUGGACUGCUACUGCAGAAUUAAUUAAUUAAUUAAUUAAUGAGUGGUCUAUCUAUCUAUCUA
Carassius auratus (goldfish) is the source of this 3178-nucleotide long non-coding RNA. RefSeq lists it as uncharacterized. NCBI's taxonomy places the organism in Eukaryota, Metazoa, Chordata, Actinopteri, Cypriniformes, Cyprinidae. The record is from RefSeq and is a predicted model, not a curated record. The transcript is spliced from 3 exons.